AGAGUUUGAUCCUGGCUCAGGAUGAACGCUGGCGGCGUGCCUAAUACAUGCAAGUCGAGCGAACGGACGAGAAGCUUGCUUCUCUGAUGUUAGCGGCGGACGGGUGAGUAACACGUGGAUAACCUACCUAUAAGACUGGGAUAACUUCGGGAAACCGGAGCUAAUACCGGAUAAUAUUUUGAACCGCAUGGUUCAAAAGUGAAAGACGGUCUUGCUGUCACUUAUAGAUGGAUCCGCGCUGCAUUAGCUAGUUGGUAAGGUAACGGCUUACCAAGGCAACGAUGCAUAGCCGACCUGAGAGGGUGAUCGGCCACACUGGAACUGAGACACGGUCCAGACUCCUACGGGAGGCAGCAGUAGGGAAUCUUCCGCAAUGGGCGAAAGCCUGACGGAGCAACGCCGCGUGAGUGAUGAAGGUCUUCGGAUCGUAAAACUCUGUUAUUAGGGAAGAACAUAUGUGUAAGUAACUGUGCACAUCUUGACGGUACCUAAUCAGAAAGCCACGGCUAACUACGUGCCAGCAGCCGCGGUAAUACGUAGGUGGCAAGCGUUAUCCGGAAUUAUUGGGCGUAAAGCGCGCGUAGGCGGUUUUUUAAGUCUGAUGUGAAAGCCCACGGCUCAACCGUGGAGGGUCAUUGGAAACUGGAAAACUUGAGUGCAGAAGAGGAAAGUGGAAUUCCAUGUGUAGCGGUGAAAUGCGCAGAGAUAUGGAGGAACACCAGUGGCGAAGGCGACUUUCUGGUCUGUAACUGACGCUGAUGUGCGAAAGCGUGGGGAUCAAACAGGAUUAGAUACCCUGGUAGUCCACGCCGUAAACGAUGAGUGCUAAGUGUUAGGGGGUUUCCGCCCCUUAGUGCUGCAGCUAACGCAUUAAGCACUCCGCCUGGGGAGUACGACCGCAAGGUUGAAACUCAAAGGAAUUGACGGGGACCCGCACAAGCGGUGGAGCAUGUGGUUUAAUUCGAAGCAACGCGAAGAACCUUACCAAAUCUUGACAUCCUUUGACAACUCUAGAGAUAGAGCCUUCCCCUUCGGGGGACAAAGUGACAGGUGGUGCAUGGUUGUCGUCAGCUCGUGUCGUGAGAUGUUGGGUUAAGUCCCGCAACGAGCGCAACCCUUAAGCUUAGUUGCCAUCAUUAAGUUGGGCACUCUAAGUUGACUGCCGGUGACAAACCGGAGAAGGUGGGGAUGACGUCAAAUCAUCAUGCCCCUUAUGAUUUGGGCUACACACGUGCUACAAUGGACAAUACAAAGGGCAGCGAAACCGCGAGGUCAAGCAAAUCCCAUAAAGUUGUUCUCAGUUCGGAUUGUAGUCUGCAACUCGACUACAUGAAGCUGGAAUCGCUAGUAAUCGUAGAUCAGCAUGCUACGGUGAAUACGUUCCCGGGUCUUGUACACACCGCCCGUCACACCACGAGAGUUUGUAACACCCGAAGCCGGUGGAGUAACCUUUUAGGAGCUAGCCGUCGAAGGUGGGACAAAUGAUUGGGGUGAAGUCGUAACAAGGUAGCCGUAUCGGAAGGUGCGGCUGGAUCACCU
Molecule: ribosomal RNA, 1539 nt
Filed under: Staphylococcus aureus 08BA02176
Lineage: Bacteria; Bacillati; Bacillota; Bacilli; Caryophanales; Staphylococcaceae
Description: 16S ribosomal RNA
Rfam family: Bacterial small subunit ribosomal RNA
Source: RNAcentral